UGGCUCAGUGGUAGAGUGCUUGCCUUGCAUGCAUGAGGUUCUGGGUUCAAUUCCUCAG
Molecule: transfer RNA, 58 nt
Filed under: Dipodomys ordii (Ord's kangaroo rat)
Lineage: Eukaryota; Metazoa; Chordata; Mammalia; Rodentia; Heteromyidae
Rfam family: tRNA
About the family: Transfer RNA (tRNA) molecules are approximately 80 nucleotides in length. Their secondary structure includes four short double-helical elements and three loops (D, anti-codon, and T loops).
Source: Rfam by way of RNAcentral